GUGCUUGCUUCAGCAGCACAUAUACUAAAAUUGGAAUGAUACAGAGAGUAGCAUGGCCCUGUGCAAGGAGGACACACAAAUACAUAAAGCGUUCUGUGUUUUU
Small nuclear RNA from Cavia porcellus (domestic guinea pig), 103 nucleotides. Lineage: Eukaryota; Metazoa; Chordata; Mammalia; Rodentia; Caviidae. The record is from Ensembl.